UACGUAGGGCGCAAGCGUUGUCCGGAAUUAUUGGGCGUAAAGAGCUCGUAGGCGGCUUGUCACGUCGGGUGUGAAAGCCCGGGGCUUAACCCCGGGUCUGCAUUCGAUACGGGCAGACUAGAGGCAGGUAGGGGAGAAUGGAAUUCCCGGUGUAGCGGUGAAAUGCGCAGAUAUCGGGAGGAACACCGGUGGCGAAGGCGGUUCUCUGGGCCUGACCUGACGCUGAGGAGCGAAAGCGUGGGGAGCGAACAGG
Molecule: ribosomal RNA, 253 nt
Filed under: uncultured bacterium
Lineage: Bacteria
Description: partial 16S ribosomal RNA
Rfam family: Bacterial small subunit ribosomal RNA
Source: RNAcentral